UACGGAGGGUGCGAGCGUUGUCCGGAAUCACUGGGCGUAAAGGGCGCGUAGGCGGCUUCUCAAGCGUGUGGUGAAAGUCCGGGGCUCAACCCCGGAUCGGCCGUGCGGACUGGGGAGCUCGAGUUCUGUAGAGGCGGGUGGAAUUCCGGGUGUAGCGGUGGAAUGCGUAGAGAUCCGGAAGAACACCAGUGGCGAAGGCGACUCACUGGACACGUAUUGACGCUGAGGUGCGAAAGCGUGGGGAGCAAACAGG
This 253-nucleotide ribosomal RNA is filed under the name uncultured bacterium. RNAcentral describes it as "partial 16S ribosomal RNA". It matches the Rfam family "Bacterial small subunit ribosomal RNA", at positions 524 to 776 of the family's 1533-position model. The record is from RNAcentral.